UACGUAGGGGGCGAGCGUUGUCCGGAAUUACUGGGCGUAAAGGGUGCGUAGGUGGCCUUUUAAGUUGGAUGUGAAAUACCCGGGCUUAACCUGGGGGGUGCAUCUAAUACUGGAAGGCUAGAGUGCAGGAGAGGAAAGCGGAAUUCCUAGUGUAGCGGUGAAAUGCGUAGAUAUUAGGAGGAACACCAGUGGCGAAGGCGGCUUUCUGGACUGUAACUGACACUGAGGCACGAAAGCGUGGGGAGCAAACAGGAUUAGAUACCCUGGUAGUCCACGCGGUAAACGAUGAAUACUAGGUGUAGGGGGUAUCAACUCCCCCUGUGCCGGAGCUAACGCAAUAAGUAUUCCGCCUGGGGAGUACGGCCGCAAGGUUGAA
RNAcentral lists this ribosomal RNA (376 nucleotides) under uncultured bacterium. RNAcentral's name for it is "bacterial SSU rRNA". It matches the Rfam family "Bacterial small subunit ribosomal RNA", at positions 524 to 898 of the family's 1533-position model. The record is from RNAcentral.